UAAUAACAAUUUCUAAAUCAGAGGAAAGAACAAGUAUUAUAUGGAAGAAGAACAACAUUGACUGGCAGCAAUACUGGAAUCAGGAAACAAAGGGAAGAAAUCUUCAUACAAUACAAAAUAGAGUGGGUAUUGAGAGAUACAGAGGAGGAAAUAGAAGACUAGUGGUAACAAGGAGUAGAAUCAGAAUAGGACACAGUCAUCUAAACAGAACACUUUAUAUCAAUUUAAAACAUCCAACUGGUGUGUGUGAUGUGUCAACAAGCUGAAACAAUAGACCAUGCUAUUAUUAAUUUUAGGAGAUAUGUCCAGGAAAGACAGAACAUGAUGACAGGGAUGGAAAAAGUUGGACUGAUAGGGACCAGUCUUAAAAGCAUUCUUGAGUGUGGUGAGAAAGAGCAAGGCCGGAGAUAUUUAUUUGAAUUUCUCUUAAGAACAGGAUAGUUAAGGAGAAUUUAGAUAAUAAUAGUAUUAGUUCCAGUAGGUGGCAGUAAUGAAACUAAGAGGAUGUCAGCUGCCUUAAAACCUCAAAGAAGAAGAAGUUGGGCCAUUCUCUUUCCAGUUUGUUUCAGGGUCUGUAAAUUUUACUUGGUGUUUGUAAAUGUGUUUGUUGACUUGUUUUCCAAAAUGUGAAUUUUUCUCAGAUUUUGUUUUCACCUAUCGGCCACCGUAGAGAUAUAACUAAUAAUAAUUGUUUGUUUUUGAGGAGGAGGAGGAGGAGAAGGAGGAGGAGGAGGAGGAGGAGAAGAAGGAGGAGGAGGAGGAGAAGGAGAAGAAGGAGGAGGAGGAGGAGGAGGAGGAGAAGAAGAAGAAGGAGGAGGAGGAGGCGGCGGCGGCGGAGGAGGAGAAGAAGAAGAAGAAGAAGGAGGAGGAGGAGGAGGAGGAGGAGGAGGAGGAAAAAGAAGAAGAAGAAGAAGAGGAGGAGGAGGAGGAGUGUGAUAUCGAGUCCCAUCAGCAAAAAGAGGGUCUCAGGAGAUCCCCGAGAAGUUCCUCGUUAAACAAGAGGCUCAAACAUA
This 1013-nucleotide long non-coding RNA is filed under the name Echeneis naucrates (live sharksucker). RNAcentral's name for it is "lncRNA (ENSENLG00000002706.1)". The record is from RNAcentral. Lineage: Eukaryota; Metazoa; Chordata; Actinopteri; Carangiformes; Echeneidae.